CCUACGGGCGGCUGCAGUGGGGAAUAUUGGACAAUGGGCGAAAGCCUGAUCCAGCCAUGCCGCGUGUGUGAAGAAGGCCUUCGGGUUGUAAAGCACUUUCAGUGGGGAAGAAAGCCUUGGGGCUAAUACCCUCGAGGAAGGACAUCACCCACAGAAGAAGCACCGGCUAACUCCGUGCCAGCAGCCGCGGUAAUACGGAGGGUGCGAGCGUUAAUCGGAAUUACUGGGCGUAAAGCGCGCGUAGGCGGUCUGAUAAGCCGGUUGUGAAAGCCCCGGGCUCAACCUGGGAACGGCAUCCGGAACUGUCAGGCUAGAGUGCAGGAGAGGAAGGUAGAAUUCCCGGUGUAGCGGUGAAAUGCGUAGAGAUCGGGAGGAAUACCAGUGGCGAAGGCGGCCUUCUGGACUGACACUGACGCUGAGGUGCGAAAGCGUGGGUAGCAAACAGGAUUAGAUACCCCUGGUAGUC
Molecule: ribosomal RNA, 466 nt
Filed under: Vreelandella stevensii
Lineage: Bacteria; Pseudomonadati; Pseudomonadota; Gammaproteobacteria; Oceanospirillales; Halomonadaceae
Description: partial 16S ribosomal RNA
Rfam family: Bacterial small subunit ribosomal RNA
Source: RNAcentral